UUACAACGCAAUGAAUGAAUCAUGUAUUGUGUGGAUGAGGACAGUGUAGUGUAGUGCCAUUGAGAAGCAUUAAUGAUACUAGUUAGCCAUAUCCAAGCUCCUUGCGUAGGAGCCAUGUUUUCAAAGUGUUGUUCUCUAUUGUCUCUACCCAAAUUCAUCACUGUUACAAACCCACCAACGUUUUCCAACCCUGUACCUAAUUUCAUCACUAGAAGAAUAAGCUCCACAAGACCCUUUCAUCUCACACUCGCCAAAGCAGAGGGAAACCUCGAUUCAGAUUCACCCUCAACCUCCACUUCUUCUCCUUCUCCUUCUCCUUUUGCCACUGACCAAACGGUUUUCGUGACUGGCAAGGAUGUUCCAUUGGAGGGUGUCAUCCAGUUCGAGAAACCAGCCUCUUCUCCUCCUUUUGAAAAAUGGGGGCGUGUGGCUCUGCUAGCUGGUGCGGAUGUGUUGGCCUUGUUUGUGUUUUCGACAAUUGGAAGAUAUAGUCAUGGACUUUCUGUUUUGGACCUUGAGACACUGCGCACUGCUGACCCUUUUAUUGCGGGGUGGUUUUUGGGUGCUUACUUCCUUGGAGGUUUUGGGGAGGAUGGCCGCGGGAUGAACGGUCUCUCGAAGGGUGUCGUUGCUACUGCGAAGUCAUGGGCUGUUGGGAUCCCUAUAGGAAUAGUAAUAAAGGCAGCAACAUCGGGUCAUCUACCGAAUUAUGGUUUUGUAUUUGUGAGUCUGGGAAGCACUGCUGUUUUACUUGUUACAUUCAGAGCAUUAUUAUAUACUAUUCUUCCAGUUGACAAUAGUAAGAAGAGCGAUGACUAUCGCCGCGGCAGUCCCUUUGAACUCUUUGAGCUGCUAACAUCAUUAGUACGGCGGUGGUAGCAAUGGUUUGCAUGUUCAAGGCACCAUAAUGUGUAUGCAUCUAAACAUCAGUUUCCAUCGCUAGUCUCCUUGUACUAUCUGCUCGUAUGAAAAAAGAAUCUGGUGCACAUUUCUUGUAGCAUAGGAAGUGCUUAAGGAGUUGAAUGGUAAGAUAUAGAUGUAAUAUAUUACCGUAGUGGUGCAAGAAUCUUUCACAUGUGAAAAUGAGAAAACAGCCACCUUCCCUUGUGUAAAUAGAUAUGGCAAACCUAAUAUUUAUAUUUUGUUUCACUCA
Glycine soja is the source of this 1153-nucleotide RNA transcript. RefSeq lists it as uncharacterized. The record is from RefSeq and is a predicted model, not a curated record. NCBI's taxonomy places the organism in Eukaryota, Viridiplantae, Streptophyta, Magnoliopsida, Fabales, Fabaceae. The transcript is spliced from 6 exons.